Molecule: microRNA, 22 nt
Filed under: Ornithorhynchus anatinus (platypus)
Lineage: Eukaryota; Metazoa; Chordata; Mammalia; Monotremata; Ornithorhynchidae
Description: oan-miR-1419f-5p
Source: miRBase by way of RNAcentral
AGUGCUCGGAGAUAUUGUCACG